Molecule: ribosomal RNA, 180 nt
Filed under: uncultured Thiobacillus sp.
Lineage: Bacteria; Pseudomonadati; Pseudomonadota; Betaproteobacteria; Nitrosomonadales; Thiobacillaceae
Description: partial 16S ribosomal RNA
Rfam family: Bacterial small subunit ribosomal RNA
Source: RNAcentral
GGGUAGGGCUUCACACGUCAUACAAUGGUCGGUACAGAGGGUUGCCAAGCCGCGAGGUGGAGCCAAUCCCAGAAAGCCGAUCGUAGUCCGGAUUGUUUCUCUGCAACUCGAGAGCAUGAAGUCGGAAUCGCUAGUAAUCGCGGAUCAGCAUGUCGCGGUGAAUACCGGUUCCCGGGUCUU